UACGAAGGGACCUAGCGUAGUUCGGAAUUACUGGGCUUAAAGAGUUCGUAGGUGGUUGAAAAAGUUGGUGGUGAAAUCCCAGAGCUUAACUCUGGAACUGCCAUCAAAACUUUUCAGCUAGAGUAUGAUAGAGGAAAGCAGAAUUUCUAGUGUAGAGGUGAAAUUCGUAGAUAUUAUAAAGAAUACCAAUUGCGAAGGCAGCUUUCUGGAUCAUUACUGACACUGAGGAACGAAAGCAUGGGUAGCGAAGAGGAUUAGAUACCCUCGUAGUCCAUGCCGUAAACGAUGUGUGUUAGACGUUGGAAAUUUAUUUUCAGUGCCGCAGCGAAAGCGAUAAACACACCGCCUGGGGAGUGCGACCGCAAGGUUAAAACUCAAAUGAAUUGACGGGGACCCGCACAAGUAGUGGAGCAUGUGGUUUAAUUAGAAGAUACGCGCAGAACCUUACCAACCCUUGACAUGUUCGUCGCGACUAUAAGAGAUUAGAGUUUUCGGUUCGGCCGGACGAAACACAGGUGCUGCAUGGCUGUCGUCAGCUCGUGUCGUGAGAUGUUGGGUUAAGUCCCGCACCGAGCGCAACCCUCACUUUUAGUUGCCGUCAUUAAGUUGGCCUCUCUGAAAGAACUGCCAGUGAUAAGCUGGAGGAAGGUGGGGAGGACGUCAAGUCCUCAUGGCCCUUACGUGUUGGGCUACACACGUGCUCCAAUGGUUAUCCAACAGGAAGCAAGACUGCGAAGUUAAGCAAAUCCAUAAAAGAUACCUCAGUUCGGAUUGCGCUCUGCAACUCGAGUGCAUGAAGCGGGAAUUAUUAGUAAUCGUGGAUCAGCGUGCCACGGUGAAUGCGUUCCCGGGUCU
RNAcentral lists this ribosomal RNA (855 nucleotides) under uncultured bacterium. RNAcentral describes it as "SSU rRNA". It matches the Rfam family "Bacterial small subunit ribosomal RNA", at positions 524 to 1381 of the family's 1533-position model. The record is from RNAcentral.